CCUACGGGAGGCAGCAGUGAGGAAUAUUGGUCAAUGGGCGCGAGCCUGACCCAGCCAAGUCGCGUGAGGGAUGAAGGUUCUAUGGAUCGUAAACCUCUUUUAUAAGGGAAUAAAGUGUGGGACGUGUCCUAUUUUGUAUGUACCUUAUGAAUAAGGAUCGGCUAACUCCGUGCCAGCAGCCGCGGUAAUACGGAGGAUCCGAGCGUUAUCCUGAUUUAUUGGGUUUAAAGGGUGCGUCAGCGGCCUUUUAAGUAAGCGGUGAAAGUCUGUGUCUCAAACAUAGAAUGGCCGUUGAAACUGGGGGGCUUGAGUAUGUUUGAGGCAGGCGGAAUGCGUGGUGUAGCGGUGAAAUGCUGAGAUAUCACGCAGAACCCCGAUUGCGAAGGCAGCCUGCCAAGCCAUGACUGACGCUGAUGCACGAAAGCGUGGGGAUCAAACAGGAUUAGAUACCCCUGUAGUC
This 460-nucleotide ribosomal RNA is filed under the name uncultured bacterium. RNAcentral describes it as "partial 16S ribosomal RNA". It matches the Rfam family "Bacterial small subunit ribosomal RNA", at positions 338 to 795 of the family's 1533-position model. The record is from RNAcentral.